This 410-nucleotide ribosomal RNA is filed under the name uncultured microorganism. RNAcentral's name for it is "bacterial SSU rRNA". It matches the Rfam family "Archaeal small subunit ribosomal RNA", at positions 330 to 745 of the family's 1478-position model. The record is from RNAcentral.
GUGCAGCAGGCGCGAAAACUUUACAAUGUGCGAAAGCACGAUAAGGGAACUCUGAGUGCCUCCUAAGGAGGCUGUUCAGGUGUCUAAAAGCACCUGGAGUAAGGGCUGGGUAAGACCGGUGCCAGCCGCCGCGGUAACACCGGCAGCCCAGGUGGUAGCCACUUUUAUUGGGUCUAAAGCGUCCGUAGCCGGUUGAGUAAGUUCCUUGGGAAAUUUGGCUGCUCAACAGUCAAGCUUCCAGGGAAUACUGCUCGACUUGGGACUGGGAGAGGUCAGAGGUACUCCAGGGGUAGGGGUGAAAUCCAUUAAUCCCUGGGGGACCACCGGUAGCGAAGGCGUCUGACCAGACCAGGUCCGACGGUGAGGGGACGAAGGCUAGGGUCGCGAACCGGAUUAGAUACCCGUGUAGU